CUAAUACUCCAUCCGUCCGAAAAUACUUGUCCGAGGAAUGGAUGUAUCUAGAUGUAUUUUAGUUCUAAAUACAUCCAUUUCUAUCAUUUUUGUGACAAGUAAUUCCGGACGGAGGGAGUAGAAU
Molecule: microRNA precursor, 124 nt
Filed under: Hordeum vulgare
Lineage: Eukaryota; Viridiplantae; Streptophyta; Magnoliopsida; Poales; Poaceae
Description: microRNA MIR1122
Rfam family: MIR1120/MIR1122 microRNA precursor family
Source: RNAcentral